Molecule: ribosomal RNA, 439 nt
Filed under: uncultured bacterium
Lineage: Bacteria
Description: partial 16S ribosomal RNA
Rfam family: Bacterial small subunit ribosomal RNA
Source: RNAcentral
CUACGGGACGCAGCAGUGGGGAAUAUUGCACAAUGGAGGAAACUCUGAUGCAGCAACGCCGCGUGGAGGAUGACACUUUUCGGAGCGUAAACUCCUUUUAUAUAGGAAGAAGAUGACGGUACUAUAUGAAUAAGCGCCGGCUAACUCCGUGCCAGCAGCCGCGGUAAUACGGAGGGCGCAAGCGUUACUCGGAAUCACUGGGCGUAAAGAGCGUGUAGGCGGAUUAAAAAGUCAGAAGUGAAAUCCUAUAGCUUAACUAUAGAACUGCUUCUGAAACUCUUAAUCUGGAAUAUGGGAGAGGUAGAUGGAAUUUCUGGUGUAGGGGUAAAAUCCGUAGAGAUCAGAAGGAAUACCGAUUGCGAAGGCGAUCUACUAGAACAUUAUUGACGCUGAGACGCGAAAGCGUGAGGAGCAAACAGGAUUAGAUACCCGGGUAGUC